This 425-nucleotide unclassified non-coding RNA is filed under the name soil metagenome. RNAcentral describes it as "partial contains 5.8S ribosomal RNA, internal transcribed spacer 2, and large subunit ribosomal RNA". The stretch from base 1 to 120 matches the Rfam family "5.8S ribosomal RNA", at positions 35 to 154 of the family's 154-position model. The record is from RNAcentral.
GAUGAAGAACGUAGCGAAAUGCGAUAAGUAAUGUGAAUUGCAGAAUUCAGUGAAUCAUCGAAUCUUUGAACGCACCUUGCGCUCCUUGGUAUUCCAAGGAGCAUGCCUGUUUGAGUAUCAUUAAAUUAUCAACUGUGCCAAUUUGGUUACAGCUUGGAUGUGGGAGAUUCUUUUUGCAGGCCUUUGACUUCUCUUUGAGAAAAAAAAUAAAAGGUCGGCUCUCCUGAAAUGUUUUAGCAGUGCCUUUGUUGGUUCAUUAGGUGUGAUAAAUUGUCUACAUCUUCGCAUGAUACCUUCAUUUGUAAAGUUCAUAUUGCUUCUAAAUUGUCUUUGAUUGGACGCAAAACAUAUAUAAUGUUUGACAAACUUGAUCUCAAAUCAGGCAGGACUACCCGCUGAACUUAAGCAUAUCAAUAAGCGGAGGA